UGUUGCUUCGGCGGGUAGGGUCUCCGCGACCCUCCCGGCCUCCCGCCUCCGGGCGGGUCGGCGCCCGCCGGAGGAUAACCAAACUCUGAUUUAACGACGUUUCUUCUGAGUGGUACAAGCAAAUAAUCAAAACUUUUAACAACGGAUCUCUUGGUUCUGGCAUCGAUGAAGAACGCAGCGAAAUGCGAUAAGUAAUGUGAAUUGCAGAAUUCAGUGAAUCAUCGAAUCUUUGAACGCACAUUGCGCCCGCCAGCAUUCUGGCGGGCAUGCCUGUUCGAGCGUCAUUUCAACCCUCAAGCUCUGCUUGGUGUUGGGGCCCUACAGCUGAUGUAGGCCCUCAAAGGUAGUGGCGGACCCUCUCGGAGCCUCCUUUGCGUAGUAACUUUACGUCUCGCACUGGGAUCCGGAGGGACUCUUGCCGUAAAACCCCCAAUUUUCCAAAGGUUGACCUCGGAUCAGGUAGGAAUACCCGCUGAACUUAAGCAUAUCAUA
This 492-nucleotide ribosomal RNA is filed under the name Colletotrichum gloeosporioides. Its description in RNAcentral is "eukaryotic LSU rRNA". The stretch from base 131 to 284 matches the Rfam family "5.8S ribosomal RNA". The record is from RNAcentral. Lineage: Eukaryota; Fungi; Ascomycota; Sordariomycetes; Glomerellales; Glomerellaceae.